Molecule: long non-coding RNA, 955 nt
Organism: Carassius auratus (goldfish)
Lineage: Eukaryota; Metazoa; Chordata; Actinopteri; Cypriniformes; Cyprinidae
Exons: 7
Source: RefSeq, a predicted model, not a curated record
UUAAAGAGUUUGGUGAUUUUACAUCCGAGUUAGUUCUGGCUGCACUGUUAGAAAUUUCUGAAAAUUGAACAGUAUUUGACUGUAAAAUGAACUGUAUUUUACUGUAGGACAGUUAUACAGCAUGUUACUGUAUUUUAAAGUAACAUUUUGGGAAAUAUCCUCUUGGCGCCACUAAAAUACAGUAUUUUUAAUUUACUGUAAAUCUAAAUACAGUUUAAAAACAAAAUAGCGCGAAACCUGACCAAUCACAGAAAAGCUGUUAUUUAUGCUUGGAGGAAGAAGAAAAGGAAGACAAACAGAUGCAAGAAGAACCAGUCAGAUGCUAAGGAGCUGGUGAGAAGCUAAAAGAUGGAAGCCGUCAUUAGAGGUGUUCUCCCAAUGCUGGAUGAUGAUCAACUUAACCACCUGAUAUCAGAAUUGACUAGAAUUGGUGUGAAAACAGACGAUGACCUCCAAUAUUAAACAUCAGAUGACCUCAAAGACUUCCUUUCACCAGCAGACUGCAGGAAAUUAAUUCAUUUUUUCAAAAUCAGAGGCAAUGAAAAUAUUCUAGCUACUCAGCCAAGCAACCGUCCGUACUCUUCUACAUUCCCUGUGCAGUGUCAUGGAUCCAGUCAAGUUACAAAUCAGAGUCCAAUAUCCACUCCAGUCCCAGUUCAAAGUGCAGCAUGGGUGUCAGAGUUUCAAAUACCCUGGGAGAUUAAAAUACCUUCAUAAACCACAAGAGUUAAGAUCCAACCCCAGUUAAGCAGACCCUUGCAGCUGAUCAAGGAUAAGCAGAAACUCUGCGUUGGUCCUCCAGCCCAGGACUGGACACCAGUGUUAGUCAUUAAGGAUCCAGCUUAUUCUUGAAACAUUGGUAAGAAAUUGUUCAUCUGCUACACUGCACUGUCACUUCUGCUAGAGAUUCAUUGACAUUUGUGACCCGUCACGGAAACCAGUGACACAAGUCGGC